RNAcentral lists this ribosomal RNA (450 nucleotides) under uncultured bacterium. Its description in RNAcentral is "partial 16S ribosomal RNA". It matches the Rfam family "Bacterial small subunit ribosomal RNA", at positions 354 to 796 of the family's 1533-position model. The record is from RNAcentral.
GUGGGGAAUAUUCCGCAAUGGACGAAAGUCUGACGGAGCAACGCCGCGUGAGUGAUGAAGGUUUUCGGACUGUAAAGCUCUGUUGUUUGGGACGAAAGUGCCUGUUGCGAACAGUUACGGGUAUUGACGGUACUAAACGAGGAAGCCACGGCUAACUACGUGCCAGCAGCCGCGGUAAUACGUAGGUGGCAAGCGUUGUCCGGAAUUAUUGGGCGUAAAGAGCAUGUAGGCGGGAAUCUAAGUCUGUUGUUAAAAUGCGGGGCUCAACCCCGUAUUGCGAUGGAAACUGGGUUUCUUGAGUGCAGGAGAGGAAAGGGGAAUUCCCAGUGUAGCGGUGAAAUGCGUAGAUAUUGGGAGGAACACCAGUGGCGAAGGCGCCUUUCUGGACUGUGUCUGACGCUGAGAUGCGAAAGCCAGGGUAGCGAACGGGAUUAGAAACCCGAGUAGUCC